RNAcentral lists this ribosomal RNA (2925 nucleotides) under Salmonella enterica. RNAcentral describes it as "bacterial LSU rRNA". It matches the Rfam family "Bacterial large subunit ribosomal RNA". RNAcentral also lists the same sequence under 4 other names. Lineage: Bacteria; Pseudomonadati; Pseudomonadota; Gammaproteobacteria; Enterobacterales; Enterobacteriaceae. The record is from RNAcentral.
GGGUUGUGAGGUUAAGCGACUAAGCGUACACGGUGGAUGCCCUGGCAGUCAGAGGCGAUGAAGGGCGUGCUAAUCUGCGAUAAGCGCCGGUAAGGUGAUAUGAACCGUUAUAACCGGCGAUACCCGAAUGGGGAAACCCAGUGUGACUCGUCACACUAUCAUUAACUGAAUCCAUAGGUUAAUGAGGCGAACCGGGGGAACUGAAACAUCUAAGUACCCCGAGGAAAAGAAAUCAACCGAGAUUCCCCCAGUAGCGGCGAGCGAACGGGGAGGAGCCCAGAGCCUGAAUCAGCAUGUGUGUUAGUGGAAGCGUCUGGAAAGGCGCGCGAUACAGGGUGACAGCCCCGUACACAAAAGCGCAUGUGCUGUGAGCUCGAUGAGUAGGGCGGGACACGUGGUAUCCUGUCUGAAUAUGGGGGGACCAUCCUCCAAGGCUAAAUACUCCUGACUGACCGAUAGUGAACCAGUACCGUGAGGGAAAGGCGAAAAGAACCCCGGCGAGGGGAGUGAAAAAGAACCUGAAACCGUGUACGUACAAGCAGUGGGAGCACCCUUUGGGUGUGACUGCGUACCUUUUGUAUAAUGGGUCAGCGACUUAUAUUCUGUAGCAAGGUUAACCGAAUAGGGGAGCCGGAGGGAAACCGAGUCUUAAUUGGGCGUUAAGUUGCAGGGUAUAGACCCGAAACCCGGUGAUCUAGCCAUGGGCAGGUUGAAGGUUGGGUAACACUAACUGGAGGACCGAACCGACUAAUGUUGAAAAAUUAGCGGAUGACCUGUGGCUGGGGGUGAAAGGCCAAUCAAACCGGGAGAUAGCUGGUUCUCCCCGAAAGCUAUUUAGGUAGCGCCUCGUGAAUUCAUCUCCGGGGGUAGAGCACUGUUUCGGCUAGGGGGCCAUCCCGGCUUACCAACCCGAUGCAAACUGCGAAUACCGGAGAAUGUUAUCACGGGAGACACACGGCGGGUGCUAACGUCCGUCGUGAAGAGGGAAACAACCCAGACCGCCAGCUAAGGUCCCAAAGUCAUGGUUAAGUGGGAAACGAUGUGGGAAGGCCCAGACAGCCAGGAUGUUGGCUUAGAAGCAGCCAUCAUUUAAAGAAAGCGUAAUAGCUCACUGGUCGAGUCGGCCUGCGCGGAAGAUGUAACGGGGCUAAACCAUGCACCGAAGCUGCGGCAGCGACACUGUGUGUUGUUGGGUAGGGGAGCGUUCUGUAAGCCUGUGAAGGUGUGUCGUGAGGCAUGCUGGAGGUAUCAGAAGUGCGAAUGCUGACAUAAGUAACGAUAAAGCGGGUGAAAAGCCCGCUCGCCGGAAGACCAAGGGUUCCUGUCCAACGUUAAUCGGGGCAGGGUGAGUCGACCCCUAAGGCGAGGCCGAAAGGCGUAGUCGAUGGGAAACGGGUUAAUAUUCCCGUACUUGGUGUUACUGCGAAGGGGGGACGGAGAAGGCUAUGUUGGCCGGGCGACGGUUGUCCCGGUUUAAGCGUGUAGGUGUGUGUUCCAGGUAAAUCCGGUUCACUUUAACACUGAGGCGUGACGACGAGGCACUACGGUGCUGAAGCAACAAAUGCCCUGCUUCCAGGAAAAGCCUCUAAGCAUCAGGUAACAUCAAAUCGUACCCCAAACCGACACAGGUGGUCAGGUAGAGAAUACCAAGGCGCUUGAGAGAACUCGGGUGAAGGAACUAGGCAAAAUGGUGCCGUAACUUCGGGAGAAGGCACGCUGACACGUAGGUGAAGUGAUUUACUCAUGGAGCUGAAGUCAGUCGAAGAUACCAGCUGGCUGCAACUGUUUAUUAAAAACACAGCACUGUGCAAACACGAAAGUGGACGUAUACGGUGUGACGCCUGCCCGGUGCCGGAAGGUUAAUUGAUGGGGUCAGCGCAAGCGAAGCUCCUGAUCGAAGCCCCGGUAAACGGCGGCCGUAACUAUAACGGUCCUAAGGUAGCGAAAUUCCUUGUCGGGUAAGUUCCGACCUGCACGAAUGGCGUAAUGAUGGCCAGGCUGUCUCCACCCGAGACUCAGUGAAAUUGAACUCGCUGUGAAGAUGCAGUGUACCCGCGGCAAGACGGAAAGACCCCGUGAACCUUUACUAUAGCUUGACACUGAACAUUGAGCCUUGAUGUGUAGGAUAGGUGGGAGGCUUUGAAGUGUGGACGCCAGUCUGCAUGGAGCCGACCUUGAAAUACCACCCUUUAAUGUUUGAUGUUCUAACGUGGACCCGUUACCCGGGUUGCGGACAGUGUCUGGUGGGUAGUUUGACUGGGGCGGUCUCCUCCUAAAGAGUAACGGAGGAGCACGAAGGUUGGCUAAUCCUGGUCGGACAUCAGGAGGUUAGUGCAAUGGCAUAAGCCAGCUUGACUGCGAGCGUGACGGCGCGAGCAGGUGCGAAAGCAGGUCAUAGUGAUCCGGUGGUUCUGAAUGGAAGGGCCAUCGCUCAACGGAUAAAAGGUACUCCGGGGAUAACAGGCUGAUACCGCCCAAGAGUUCAUAUCGACGGCGGUGUUUGGCACCUCGAUGUCGGCUCAUCACAUCCUGGGGCUGAAGUAGGUCCCAAGGGUAUGGCUGUUCGCCAUUUAAAGUGGUACGCGAGCUGGGUUUAGAACGUCGUGAGACAGUUCGGUCCCUAUCUGCCGUGGGCGCUGGAGAACUGAGGGGGGCUGCUCCUAGUACGAGAGGACCGGAGUGGACGCAUCACUGGUGUUCGGGUUGUCAUGCCAAUGGCACUGCCCGGUAGCUAAAUGCGGAAGAGAUAAGUGCUGAAAGCAUCUAAGCACGAAACUUGCCCCGAGAUGAGUUCUCCCUGAGACUUUAGGUCUCCUGAAGGAACGUUGAAGACGACGACGUUGAUAGGCCGGGUGUGUAAGCGCAGCGAUGCGUUGAGCUAACCGGUACUAAUGAACCGUGAGGCUUAACCUUACAACGCCGAAG